Molecule: long non-coding RNA, 702 nt
Filed under: Salvia miltiorrhiza (redroot sage)
Lineage: Eukaryota; Viridiplantae; Streptophyta; Magnoliopsida; Lamiales; Lamiaceae
Description: long non-coding RNA (SMIL_LNC008491)
Source: RNAcentral
UUUGCACAUGCGUUGACCAUAACUUUAAGCCUAGUUGAUGUGGCUGCCGGAAAUUGCAGACGUGGACUAACCGUCGGGCAGGUAAGUAUAAUUUUAAAAAAAAAGAAAAAAAAAGAGGAAAAUCUCAGUCUUCUUCUCCGUCUUUUCCAGACGUCGAGCACGACCGCCGCCUUUUCCAGAUCCGCCGUAUUUUUCAGACGCCGAGCACCACCGCCACCGCCGAGCACAGCGCAGUCUUCUUCUCCGUCACAGGCCAUUGCUCGCUUUCUUUCCGCUGCCUCACCGCCGUCCUCCAUCCUCCAUCGCUCGCCUUUUCUUCGCUCAUAUGAAUGUCGCCUCACCGCCAUCUUUCAUCUCCGCCCCUUUCCCUGAAUCUCCAUCCUCCAUCCGCCGCCAUUCUCCAUCUCCGCCGCACCGCACAGCGCGGCCUCGUCUCCAGCAGCCGUCUUCCACCAGCCACAACACAAACACCACACCACGACACAAACACCACACAACGCGACGACACGACACAAGCACUACACCAUGCCACGAAUUUCAGUAGCGAAGAGCCGACAAUCCCCAAAUUUGCAGAACCCCCAAAUCCACAAAUCCCCCACAAUCCUCCUCCGCCUCCAACCUUCCAAAAUCGAAGUCGAGCCGGAUGAAAUCGAAGGAGUGGUGAGGGAAAAUCGGAGUCAAAUGGGAAGAAAUCCCCAGAUC